Molecule: non-coding RNA, 478 nt
Organism: Paramuricea clavata
Lineage: Eukaryota; Metazoa; Cnidaria; Anthozoa; Malacalcyonacea; Plexauridae
Source: the annotation of a GenBank genome assembly
CUGUGUACGAGAAUGUAAAGGUGUUUUGCAAAGGUUUAAUAAUAAUUAACAUGAUAAACGGUGAUCUAUAAUAAUCAGUAUACAUCUUUAAAUAAAUUUAUAUUGUACAACUAUCUGACGUAGUAUUGAUAAUAAUUAUUGCAUGCUUACCUCGGCUGCAGACUGUCUUAACUACCACUGGACUACAGCUAAUGAUAAUGUUAAACUUAAUUACUUGCCACAUGGAUGUAACGAAGUUGACUUUGACUCAACUGAUAGAAUUCUAUUCUUAGCAGUACAAAAUUUUAUAAUUAAUUCCAAUAGUCCAGUGUUAGCCUUCCAUACACUUUUUCAUUUUUUUCUCUCUUUUUCCUCAACUUGUUUAUUACUAACUUUUCAUCCUUUAUGAAAUUUUAAAUUGACAUAAUAUAUUUACCGCCUAUACUUGAUGCUAAAUUCUUGUGAAUAGAACAAGAGCCCCUUGACGAGCUGAAAGCUC